Molecule: RNA transcript, 5227 nt
Organism: Cylas formicarius (sweet potato weevil)
Lineage: Eukaryota; Metazoa; Arthropoda; Insecta; Coleoptera; Brentidae
Gene: ebo
Gene name: exportin-6-B
Exons: 17
Source: RefSeq, a predicted model, not a curated record
CCACGGACGACAGAGGCCACGCAUCGACCACAACGGUGUACCCAAAGAAACGAACGGAAACGUCAAAAUGUUCAUAUUUUACUAAAUUUUUCUAACAAAUUCUUUUAAAAUUCGAAAAAUUCCGCGAGUCAUGCCAAUAACAAUUCGUCGCGCGUAAAACUAUGGCAAGUAUAACCCUCGCAACGGCGUUGCACCCAUGAAAAUCGCGAUUUACAUUUAUAUAACCUCAGUUUUCGAUUCGCGUUCGCACUUUUUCCAAACGGAAAGUUUAAUAAAUGUCGCGUUUGUUGGCGCAGGACCUUAACGAAAACGGGUCCCUGCUCGCGGUGGAGAAACUGCUCGAGGAAUUCUUUAGUCCGUACACGAGCAACGGCCGAAAACAUGAUAUCGAGGCACAGCUUAACUCUUUCAAAACGACGCCCCAUCUGUGCGGCCUCUGCCUUUACUUCAUUUCUCAUACGUCUAGUCAAUACGUGACGAUGUUUGCCUUACAAACUUUGGAGUCUGUGAUAAAACUAAAUUGGAACAAUACCGAUUGGCCGACGCAGGAGGAGAUCAAGUCCACCUUGCAGACGAAUCUUAUAUUCAAAAGCCACAACACCCCACACUUUUUAAAGCACAAGUACGCCAAGCUCCUGGUCGAAAUUGCCAAGUACGAUUGGCCGACCAAAUAUCCGGAGUUUUUUGUUAAUAUACUGGAGCUUUUAAAAUCGACUGAGCAAAAUCAACUCAUCGGGUUGAUCAUGCUAAGGACCGCCUGCGAGGAGAUAAUCGGCUUUAAUACGACGUUUGAAAACUGUCCUAGAAAAAAAGAACUAACAAGACUGCUGCACGGUUACAUUCCAGGCGUUUUCAUGCUACUAACCAAUAUUUUGGAGAAGUUUGGCACCAACUCCCGUCAUGCUGCCACGGCUACGCCACCGCCUUCACCGACGCACCCGACGACCAGCCCGAGCCUGGAACAGCAACUCGCCACUGCCACUUUCCGACCAGACGUCAAGGCCCUCAGCCAAGAGGUCUUGAACACUGUACAAUUCAUGUUCGCGUGGGUACCGAUCGAGAGCGUGCCCGCUCGCAUCAUCAGGGCCAUAUUUUGCUUCACUAACGUAUCGACUUACUCCCAGGACGACGACGACCUUUGCGUGUGCGCGAUGUCGACGAUAAACGAAAUAUUUUACCGAAAAUGCAGCCCGCCAGGCAGCGAGACGUUUUUUAAAGAGAUUUACGAUCACGUGAUCGAGUUGCUGAGGAACCUCGCCAACUCUUGUUCCUACCGUAUCGACAGUUAUGACGAGACGUUCGUGAAGAAAUUAUGCGAGCUGCUGGUGCUGAUAAUCGAACAGCACCUGUGGAGGUACGAGAAGGACCCAACGUUCUCCUCCCUUGAGUUCCUCUCCUUGUUUUUCCAAUACACAAUGCAUCUACCGUCGGUGCCGUGUUACCUGCGCUGCCUGACGGUGUGGACGGCUUUUUUCAAGCAGAUCAAACCGGAAAACGCGCAAAAAUACUCGGAAGUAUUUCUUGGACUGGGUAGUGCCUUGAUCAAGAAGAUCCAGUUUACCUACAAUUGCGCCCAGCUGAUCGAGAUCAACACCACCGAACCUGACGAGGACGACAAGACGGACUGGCAGCGCUUCCUCGACGCGUCCAUCGACAUAAUAUCGCGGGCAGCGCAUUACGCCUUCCUCGACCUCUUCAACCAAGCUUUAAACGGUUGGAACGCGUGCAACGCCGUCUACCGGCAGCUGGAGAACGCGGCGGACGCGCGCACGCGCGCCUUGAACUUCGAAACUUCUGAGACUGAGCAACUGUAUUAUAUACUUAGGGACUUUUCUACCACGUGCUUUACACUGGGGAGCCUCGCCCACCAUUUUUACACCACCGACGAUGAACAGCUGCAGAGGACAGCGGCGUCGACGGUAUACAUUUUGAUAGACCAUAUCUUGCAAAGUGCCUCCAAGUCCGCCACGGUGCGGUAUUACGAGCUGAAGGUGGCGGAUGCGCGCCUGACCCAGUGCUUCGUUGACGCGCACAGCGAGCUGCUCGCGUCGCUCAAGACGUGGCUCGGUUGGAUCGAAGGCGGCAAAAACCACGUGACCGCCGGUCACGACGUCAUCUUGGACGCGGUGUUGCCGCUCCUCGAGGACGGCGCGAGGGUGCCGGUCAAGAUAGGCCGUUCGGCCGCCCACCUCCUGCUGGAAAUUGCUAGGAAACCGAACGCGGUCGCGGGCCACCCAGGCGUCGCGAGGUUUAUCCGGGCGGCGCCCAAUCUAAGAUACGCCGACAGGGACACCGGCAACACCGUAUGCUCGGUGGUUUGCGAGGUUUUGCUGAAACCGUUGAAGUCAACCGACAAGGUCGGGAUCGAGGCGAAACGAGCGGUCAUCGCGGCUUUCUUCAACGAUUUUACGGGCGAUUUUAGGCUGCUGACGCCGACCACGCCCGAAAACAGGCUGGGUGACGUGGUGCGCCGCCUCCUUCCGUCGCUCGCGCACGUCGUCGAGUAUUGCCGCGGAUUUUCGGUGGCGGCGAAGGGCGAGCUGACGUGCGCACUCGGGCCGACGUUGGACCACGCGUUGAGCCUAUUCCCGACGUACGUCAAGUACGCGACUGUCCACGAGGAGUUUUCGCAUUUUUUCAUCGCGGCACUGAAGAAUCUGCAGGCGCAGAUCGGGCUCGAGUUCACCAAGAACGCCAUACAGGUGUUCCUCCAGGUCGCUAUCAGCGAACAACACUCAAAUAAUUUCGGGGGGCUGCAGCGUUUGCUCGACAUAUUCUGCAUAGUGGUGCGCGAGCCCUCCAGCAAGGCCUUCCUGCCGGACAUUUUGCACCUCUGCAUGGAGAACAUCUACCCCUUACUAUUGCCACGGUCGAUCGAAUAUCCCGACGUUUUCGUCAGUUUCCUGGACCUACUGUACAGCAUUCUGAACUUUCGAUGGCUCUACUUCUACAACUCCCAAGUGAUGGCCGGUUACUCGCCUGUCGGCGACGAGACCGCCGGCCCGGACAGUCCCAAACGACCGGAACAGCUCCUCGCCAUGCUGAAGGUGUUUUGCGAGGCUCUGCUCCACGAGGACGUCAAUAUCUUCCGCAGGAGCUUGGUCAUUUUGCAGGAUCUCAACCACAACAAGCAGCUGUUCCACAAGGCCAUAUUUCGAUCGACCUUGCUGCCGGAAUUGUUGAGGGUCCUGUUGAACGCGUUGCUCUACAAGAGGCACGGGCUGUCGUGCGAGGAAAUCGGUUUGGUCGUCUACAGCAUGGCCGAGGUCAGUUUCGAAGGGUUCUUUACGAAAUUCCUGCCGCAGUAUAUCCAAGACUUGAAGGAACUUCUUCCCCAGCAAUACGAGUUGUUGCUCGCGAAUUUUAAUCCGACUAACGAUCGGGACGUGCCGAGUUUUGUUCAGCACCUGCAGAGCUUCUCCAACGAUUUUGACCGGUGCCGCGUGUCCAAUCUCGGUAGCCCUUCGGUCCUUUAACGUCAGUUAUUUUAGCAAUAUGUCCGGUUCGUCGCUCAAUUUGUGUUAUUCUUUAAGAAGAAAGUUUUUUUUUUAAUAAAAAUGUUUUUUAAUUGUGGAUUUUUUUUUGUCGCCAUUGAUUUCAAGACCGUUUUCGCUGUCAAAUGAUAGACAUAACCUAUAAAUAUGUUUUAUUUACUCUCGUAACUACUCCGUAAAUCACGAAAAAAGACAAUUUCGUCAGUAUAUCAUCUUCUAGUAAAGACAAUACAUUCAUAACUUUUAAUGUAUUAGAAAAAGACAAUAGCCAAUUUUGUUGUCAUGGACGAAUUUGCAAAAUCAAGUUUAACUGCUAUCUUUUUGUUAAACAAAAAUUCUUGGUCAGCAUAAUAAUCAAUUAAAGAAGUAUUUGCUAUGAAAGAUAAGACCUUUAACUUUGAAUCACUGGGUCUAGUGGUAUCUUUGCUAAAAUUUUAUUCAACAAGAAAAGGAUAACGGAGGACUUUUGUUACCGCUGUCCGCAAGGGCGGGUGGUACAGGCACUAAAUAUUAGUUUAGAAUAAAAAAUCGUUUAAAAUCUAAUGAAAACGUAAUAAAAUCACCAGGAAAGAAGAGACCUCUAAAAAAGACAAAGACGACUCAUUUAAUUGAUGUAGUUAAAUAUAAUAUACGAGACAUGGCGUAUAGUGAAAGACAUCAUUUAUAACCAUGCAAGAUGAUUAUUAUGAUUACUAUUACGAUUAAUUCCAUUGUUUUUUUUAGAAAAAACAUGUCACAUUAGCAACUUUAAAUAGCAGGCUUAAAGAACAAAAACUUAUUUUUAUCAGCAAUAGUUCUUUGGCAGACAUUGAGUAUUGCCCAGCGCAUUCGUGUUAAAUUCAAAAAAGAUGAUUAUCGACGGUAUCUUGUGGAGCACACCAAUGUUUCAUUACUUUGAACUAGAUUUUUAAGAAGUUAUGAGUAUGUCAACGCUUCCUCUCGUCAGGUUAUUUUUAUGGAUGAAACAUGGAUAUUUUCCAAAGGGAAUGCAAAACAGCCUUGGCCAAUAUAAUUCCAUAAAAAGUGUAAGAAGACCACUGGGCUUUCAAGGGAAGUGAUUUAUGGAUGAAGCAAGCUUGGUGUGCCUGAAGCACUUUGUAACCCUUCUUACCAGUGUGAAUUAAAUGCUAUUGAGUUAAUAUGGUCUCGUGCUAAAUAGACAUAUCGGAAGAGAGAGUCAUAUGGAUGAAAAUGUUUUAGCUACGUCGAAUGAUACUCCAUUACCAAUUACAUCCGAGGUUUGGAAAAACUGUGUGGAACAUACCAAUAAAAUUAUUUUAGAUGGUGUAACAAAACCAUUUUUAAUGAAAUAGAGCCCAUAAUAAUUUCACUGGAUUCAGAAAGUGAUACUGAAAGUGAACUUAGUGACUGAACUUCAAAUGAACAAAAUGACAGGCUCUCAUUUAGAACAAAUUAGUUCAUUUGGUACCUACUAACUAAAGUUAAUAAAAUAUUUUUUAGAAACAAUGUCCUGAGAUUUCUACGUAAACUUAACACAACAUAUUUUGCUUUUAUAUAAUUUCAUAAAAUUUAUAUUCAUCUAUUUGAGACUUUGAGAAUCAAAUUGUGUCUUAAAAUAAAUUGUCCUUUGUAUCUUGUGUUAAAAUUCGUAAUAAAUGUUUGUUAUUGUGCUUUUUAUUUAAAUAUCUAAGUUAAACUAAGCCUAAGAUUAGCCAAUUUCUAUUAACCAAAAAUAUUCUAUCAUAACUGCGAAUCUGCAACAAAUAACUCAC